RNAcentral lists this ribosomal RNA (473 nucleotides) under Ralstonia sp. enrichment culture. Its description in RNAcentral is "bacterial SSU rRNA". It matches the Rfam family "Bacterial small subunit ribosomal RNA", at positions 505 to 978 of the family's 1533-position model. The record is from RNAcentral. Lineage: Bacteria; Pseudomonadati; Pseudomonadota; Betaproteobacteria; Burkholderiales; Burkholderiaceae.
GUGCCAGCAGCCGCGGUAAUACGUAGGGUCCAAGCGUUAAUCGGGAUUACUGGGCGUAAAGCGUGCGCAGGCGGUUGUGCAAGACCGAUGUGAAAUCCCCGAGCUUAACUUGGGAAUUGCAUUGGUGACUGCACGGCUAGAGUGUGUCAGAGGGGGGUAGAAUUCCACGUGUAGCAGUGAAAUGCGUAGAGAUGUGGAGGAAUACCGAUGGCGAAGGCAGCCCCCUGGGAUAACACUGACGCUCAUGCACGAAAGCGUGGGGAGCAAACAGGAUUAGAUACCCUGGUAGUCCACGCCCUAAACGAUGUCAACUAGUUGUUGGGGAUUCAUUUCCUUAGUAACGUAGCUAACGCGUGAAGUUGACCGCCUGGGGAGUACGGUCGCAAGAUUAAAACUCAAAGGAAUUGACGGGGACCCGCACAAGCGGUGGAUGAUGUGGAUUAAUUCGAUGCAACGCGAAGAACCUUACCAGG